UUGAAGGCUGAAAUUCGCCUUCAUGAAGCUGGAAUUGCUAGUAAUGGCAGGUCAGCAUACUGCCGUGAAUACGUUCCCGGGCCUUGUACACACCGCCCGUCACACCAUGAGAGUUGGGAAUACCCGAAGCCUGUGAGCUAACUUUUUAAGAGGCAGCAGUCGAAGGUAGAAUCAAUGAUUGGGGUGAAGUCGUAACAAGGUAUC
RNAcentral lists this ribosomal RNA (204 nucleotides) under uncultured bacterium. Its description in RNAcentral is "partial 16S ribosomal RNA". It matches the Rfam family "Bacterial small subunit ribosomal RNA", at positions 1298 to 1500 of the family's 1533-position model. The record is from RNAcentral.